UACGUAGGGGGCAAGCGUUGUCCGGAUUUAUUGGGCGUAAAGAGCUCGUAGGCGGUUUGUCGCGUCGAAUGUGAAAACCCGGGGCUCAACCCCGGGCCUGCAUUCGAUACGGGCAGACUAGAGUUCGGUAGGGGAGUCUGGAAUUCCUGGUGUAGCGGUGAAAUGCGCAGAUAUCAGGAGGAACACCGGUGGCGAAGGCGGAUCUCUGGGCCAUUACUGACGCUGAGGAGCGAAAGCGUGGGGAGCGAACAGG
Molecule: ribosomal RNA, 253 nt
Filed under: uncultured bacterium
Lineage: Bacteria
Description: partial 16S ribosomal RNA
Rfam family: Bacterial small subunit ribosomal RNA
Source: RNAcentral